This 68-nucleotide transfer RNA is filed under the name Marmota monax (woodchuck). RNAcentral describes it as "tRNA.Ala". The stretch from base 5 to 65 matches the Rfam family "tRNA", at positions 6 to 65 of the family's 71-position model. Rfam says of the family: Transfer RNA (tRNA) molecules are approximately 80 nucleotides in length. Their secondary structure includes four short double-helical elements and three loops (D, anti-codon, and T loops). Lineage: Eukaryota; Metazoa; Chordata; Mammalia; Rodentia; Sciuridae. The record is from RNAcentral.
GGAUUGUGGCUCAGUGGCAGAGCACUUGCCUCGCAUGUAUGAGGCACUGGGUUUGAUCCUCAGCACCA